CUUGAUCGAGCCGAGCCACAGCGGCCGGUCCUCCGGGCGGCCCUGCCCGUACGUCGCCAGCAGCGCCUGCGCCUC
Molecule: antisense RNA, 75 nt
Filed under: Paractinoplanes brasiliensis
Lineage: Bacteria; Bacillati; Actinomycetota; Actinomycetes; Micromonosporales; Micromonosporaceae
Description: Actinoplanes brasiliensis ASpks TB sRNA
Rfam family: ASpks TB sRNA
Source: RNAcentral